GUGAGGAAUAUUGGUCAAUGGGCGGGAGCCUGAACCAGCCAAGUCGCGUGAAGGAAGAAGGAUCUAUGGUUCGUAAACUUCUUUUGCAGGGGAAUAAAGUGCAGGACGUGUCCUGUUUUGUAUGUACCCUGAGAAUAAGGAUCGGCUAACUCCGUGCCAGCAGCCGCGGUAAUACGGAGGAUCCGAGCGUUAUCCGGAUUUAUUGGGUUUAAAGGGUGCGUAGGUGGUUUGAUAAGUCAGCGGUGAAAGUUUGCAGCUUAACUGUAAAAAUGCCGUUGAAACUGUAGGACUUGAGUGUAAAUGAGGUAGGCGGAAUGCGUGGUGUAGCGGUGAAAUGCAUAGAUAUCACGCAGAACUCCGAUUGCGAAGGCAGCUUACUAAGCUACAACUGAUACUGAAGCACGAAAGCGUGGGGAUCAAACAGGAUUAGAAACCCCGGUAGUCC
RNAcentral lists this ribosomal RNA (445 nucleotides) under uncultured bacterium. RNAcentral's name for it is "partial 16S ribosomal RNA". It matches the Rfam family "Bacterial small subunit ribosomal RNA", at positions 354 to 796 of the family's 1533-position model. The record is from RNAcentral.